RNAcentral lists this ribosomal RNA (301 nucleotides) under uncultured bacterium. Its description in RNAcentral is "partial 16S ribosomal RNA". It matches the Rfam family "Bacterial small subunit ribosomal RNA", at positions 509 to 809 of the family's 1533-position model. The record is from RNAcentral.
CAGUAGCCGCGGUAAUACGUAGGCGGUAAGCGUUGUCCGGAAUUAUUGGGCGUAAAGGGAGCGCAGGUGGGACGGUAAGUCCGUCUUAAAAGGCAGGAGCUCAGCCCCUGUAAGGGAUGGAAACUAUCGAUCUUGAGUGCCGGAGAGGAAAGCGGAAUUCCCAGUGUAGCGGUGAAAUGCGUAGAUAUUGGGAAGAACACCAGUGGCGAAGGCGGCUUUCUGGACGGCAACUGACACUGAGGCUCGAAAGCCAGGGGAGCGAACGGGAUUAGAUACCCCCGUAGUCCCUGUCUCUUAUACA